UACGUAGGGUGCGAGCGUUGUCCGGAAUUAUUGGGCGUAAAGAGCUCGUAGGCGGUGUGUCACGUCGGCCGUGAAAACCUGCAGCUUAACUGUGGGCGUGCGGUCGAUACGGGCAUCACUGGAGUUCGGAAGGGGAGACUGGAAUUCCUGGUGUAGCGGUGAAAUGCGCAGAUAUCAGGAGGAACACCGGUGGCGAAGGCGGGUCUCUGGGCCGAUACUGACGCUGAGGAGCGAAAGCGUGGGGAGCAAACAGG
RNAcentral lists this ribosomal RNA (254 nucleotides) under uncultured bacterium. RNAcentral describes it as "partial 16S ribosomal RNA". It matches the Rfam family "Bacterial small subunit ribosomal RNA", at positions 524 to 776 of the family's 1533-position model. The record is from RNAcentral.